Molecule: long non-coding RNA, 1094 nt
Organism: Hibiscus syriacus
Lineage: Eukaryota; Viridiplantae; Streptophyta; Magnoliopsida; Malvales; Malvaceae
Exons: 3
Source: RefSeq, a predicted model, not a curated record
GUUGUGCCGUUCUCUUCUUCUAACUCUCAAACUCUCCUCUCCCGCCCUCUCAUCUCCUCCAAACCCACGCAGCCACCUCUCGACUCUUCCACUCUUCAAUCAACCGAGACCCCAAAGGCCCUGUGGCCUCCACUGGCUGGUUAACCCAAACACGAGCCUAACCCGACCCUAAACUCUCAUAUCUUCACUAUUUGAACUUUAGGUCAUUCUCUGCAACAUGGAUUUUCUGUGAUUAAACUUUAGGUUUCAGCCAUUUCCUCUUAUUUGAAGAUGUUUUUACUGCUAAAUUUAGAAGGCAAAAGCUGAUGAAAUUGCAAAGCUAAUGAAUGAGAAUGAGCAGCUUAAAGCUGUGAUUGGGGAUUUGAAGUGAGGCUCGAACGGCUAGGAGGCAAAGCGGGAUGAACUACAACUAAGGUAAACGUUUAAGCUAUCUCCUUUAUGCCUUUGACUUGGUUUAGAUUCAAAACAUAUGCACACACAAGAAAAUUAAGAAAGCAAUGGAGAAUAGAAACUAAAAAAAAUACCCUUUUGAUUCUGUGUAUUGCUUGGGUUCGAUGAAAAAAAAAAUGCUUCUCUGUUUCUUUUAAUCCUCAAAUAGCAAGAAAAUACAGUGCAAAUUCAUUCCUUAUGUUUUGCUAUUCUCUGUAAAAAAAAAUCAAUGGGGGCAGUUUUUUUUCUGCUUCUGUUUUCUCGGUUACUUGUUUUUGUCCCUCGGCUCAUUCCUCUUUUUUUUGUAUGUGAUCUCCUUUUCCCCAGUGGUUAAUUGUCAUUUAAAACUGACCAUUAUAGUUUCCUCGUUGCUCACGUAUACCUCCCACGACCGAACAAUACCUUUCCCCUCUGGUGAGUUUGUUUAUGAGUUUGUUUAUCUUUAAAUAAAUAUUCCUUUAAAAGUUGGAUUCUCUCUUGUUAAGAGUUUGUCAGGAGUUUAAAGAAGAAGGCUAUUUAACUGUCAGUUAUUUAUUCUCUGCCCCUUGUUCUUGAUACCUGAUGCAUGUAUGAAGUCAUUGAUUUCAACUUUCUAGAUGAUUUAUGCAUUGUUUUUUCAUAUAUGAUAACCUCAAAACGUAUUAUCGUUAAAUUAUUUUAUUUGU